Molecule: long non-coding RNA, 3088 nt
Organism: Acinonyx jubatus (cheetah)
Lineage: Eukaryota; Metazoa; Chordata; Mammalia; Carnivora; Felidae
Exons: 3
Source: RefSeq, a predicted model, not a curated record
GUGAUGUUUGACAGACCCGACCCCCCAGCCAAGCUCAGCUUCAGCACGCUGGUCUCUGAGAAGAGGCUAGUAUCCAGCGUCCCACCUGCCUCAGGGGGUUGUUUGAGCCGAUGGAUAAUGACGGUGAAAGCAUCACCGUGACAAGUCGAGAUGCCAAUCAAUUGAAAUGCAGCUGUGACCGUCUCACAACUAACUCCGAAUGACUAGCCAGCUUAACUUAGUGCUAAAAUGAUUUCUUCCCUACGCAUUUCAGUUCAAAAGAUAAAAAUUAUGUCAACAGAGCUAUUAAAAUUUUAGCUAAUAAGAGAAUCGUUUUUGUUGUGCUGAUAAACCUACAGCUUUAUUUAAAUUGCACAGCUGUCAUUGUAGUAAAACGUGUACACGAGGAUACGGAGAUUCAUGGACUCUAACAAGCAAAGAAACCCAAAUGCGAGAAUGCCUUUCGGGAGGCGUGAGCACCAACCUAACAGAAGAAGUAACACAGAGGCCAUGAUGUAGAUUCCACGACUCCGAAGAAAAGAAAGAAGAUGGGGUCUCCAGCAGGAAAAUGUUAAGAAGCAUCGUUAAGUGGAAAGCGUAAAACCAAACACGACAAAGCAGACAAAAAGUAUAUAACAACCAAAUAAAACAAAAACCAACAGGUCAGUAGGAAGAGAGACAAGGAGGCUGCUCGGCCGGCUGCAAAGAGAUGGGGAGGGGUUCUCAGGGAGAACUUGACCUUGCCGAGUCCCUGGCCAUGGUCUCCGGGGCGGGACUGGCCGGUGUGAGACGGGCCAGUGGUGACCUUGGGGGGCACACAGAUGGGUCUGUUUUAACUAUUAUAUGUUCAUCUUAAUUGCAUUACAAAAUCAUAUUUAGUAUAUGAAACCUUGGAAUUCAGUGAUAUCAAGGCAAGGAGAAGCGGAAGUUGGUAUGUAUGUUUUGAAAGGAAGUCAAUCUGAGCAAAACUGUUAGGUGAAUAACAUUACGGUUGGUGCUCAGAUGUGGUAAACUGUACAAUGCAGAUGUUAUGUGAGUGAAUGAGGACUGGAGACAAACGACGGAUGGGAAGAUGUUCUAAUUAGGCUAAUUCUUUAAGGAUUAAUUUAUCAUUAGAAUUAAAUUUUUUUUUUAAUUUUUUUAAUGUUUAUUUAUUUUUGACAGAGAGAGAUAGAGCAUGAGUCGGGGAGGAGCAGAGAGAGGGGGAGGCACAGAAUCCGAAGCAGGCUCCAGGCUCCCAGCUGUCAGCACAGAGCCCGACGCGGAGCUCGAACUCAUAAACCGCGAGGUCAUGACCUGAGCCGAAGUCGGACGCUCAACCGACUGAGCCACCCAGGUGCCCCUAUAAUUAGAAGUUUAUACAGUAGUCAAAAGACAACUGUUUUGGGAGGUGGGGGGCACGGAAUCUUUCAGAAGUUCAUCUGAAAGAUCACAGAAGAACCAAGGGGGGCUAGGAGCAGCUGUCACGACACCAGACGUUAGACCCUCUUACGACCGCGGAUGGACAAGAGUGUGUCAUCCGUUCGGAGGAGAGGACGUCCAGAAGCCGGUGCGAGACGGUAUGAGGCUGCGGCGGAUACCGGCAUGUCUGUCCCACGGGCACCGGGCUGGGGGACGGGGAACACAGCGGGGUGACCCAGGGUGGGGCAUCUGCAAGGGAACAGCACGUUGACGAGCCGACCGACAGGCGUUUGUGUCACAUCACGACAACAGCCACGGAGGACAGACCGUGGUGCGAGCAACUUGCAAAGGGGGGACCCGCAAUUCUUGCUACGCAGAGGACUUCAUCUGUGGCCUCAAAGUACAUAACUGACGAGCUGAGAAGAUGUUUUCAUGCACGAAGUAAAAUAAGGCAGAAUAAGUUGUGAUAUUUUUGAGCACUUAUUACAUACUAGGAUGAUGCUGGUUCUGUCAUUCAAUAAUGUCAAUAAUCCAGUGAAAUGGGGACUAACUUAUUUAUACUUUCGCCCAGAGGAAACUGAGCCCGAGCUGGCCAGCGGCAGGCACACCCAGCCGUCCAAGCGCGAGCUCUCUUUCUUUUUUAAAAACCCCUUUAUUGAGAAAUAAUGGAGAUACAGAAACCGGGACACGUGUGCCGUGUACGAUUUGACGGCUUUGCACGUAUUCACGCACCUGUGACACUGUCCCCGCGGUCCUGACGAUGGAUGUAUCCGUCGCCCCCAGAAGUUUCCUGCUGUCCCUUUUGUCUGUGGUAAGAACAGCAUGAGAUCCAGCCCCUGAAGUUUCUGAGCGCACGACACCGUGUUGUUCCCCACAGGUGCCGUGGGGCACGACAGAAAUCUAGAACGGGUUCAUCUUGCAUAACUGGAAGAACUUGUACCCGUUGAACAUCUCCCCAUUUUCUCCUCCUCCCGGACCCCGGUAACCUCCGUUUUGCUCUCUGCUUCUGAGUCUGACCCUGGCAGAGUCCUCCAGGGGGAACCACGCAGUAUUCCCUCCUCUGUGAUGGACUCAUUUCACUUAGUGCAGCGUCCUCCACAUUCAGCCACGUUGUCACAAACGGAUUUCCUUCCUUUCUUAAGCCUGACCGAUGCUCUAAUUUACGUGUAUUCCACAUUUUCUCGCCAUAGAAUUGCCAGAACUUUCUUCUGUUUUGCUUUGUUUGUUUUAGAAGAGCCGUCCUCACGGGCAUGAGUGGGUAUCUCAUGGUGGUUUUGAUUUGCAUCUCCCUGGCAAUGAGUCACGUCGAGCAUCUUUUCACGUGUCUGCUGGCCAUCCGUGUAUCGUCUUUGGAGAAAUGUCUAGUCGAGUCAUUAGCCCCCUUUUUUUUUUCAUCUGGUCUUGGCAACGAAGGCACGGAUAGGACACCAAAAGCAGAGUCAACAAAAGCAUCAACAAACAAGCGGGACUACAUCAAACUAAAGGCUUCUGCACCGCAAAGGGGACCACCAACAGAACGAGAAGGCGGCAUGACGAGAUGUUUGCAAACCACAUGCCUGAUGAGAGAUUAAUAUCCAAACUAUAUAAGGAAAUCAUACAAUACCAAAUAUUAAAAACAAAAACAAAUACACAAUAACCCAAUGGAAAAAUGGGCAAAGAACUUAAAAAAAUAUUUCUUCCGGGGCACCCGGGUGGCUCAGUCAGUUAA